CCCCGCACCGCUCGUUUCCCGCAGUGAAACGAAACCAAAACCGAACCCAACGCGGAAAGGGGCGGUGGGCGUGGCCUCACAUAAACCCCGCCCACUUCAGGUCACGCCCACUUUCUCGAGCCACGCCCCCCUUCAGGCACCGCCUCUGCGGUUGGCCUAACGGCGUAGGCCACGCCCCCAUUUUAGGCCACGCCCCUUUCAGCCCCGGUUCCCGUUUGUCCAUCCUGGCUUUGGCCCCGCCCCCGCUUUAGGCCCCGCCCCCUUUCAGGUCCCACAUCCGCCUCCACGCAGGCCACGCCCUCCUUUAAGGCCACGCCCCCGUUAAAAGCCCCGCCUCUGCGGUUGGUCCUCCUCUCCGUAGACCCCGCCCCCCGCCUUAGGCCCCGCCCCCUUCUGGGCCCGACUCCUCCGCUGAUUCGCCUCCUCUUCGGCCCCGCCCCCUACGCCGGCCCCGCCCCCUACGUCGACCCCGCCGCUCACGUCGGCCCCGCCUCCAUUCAGGCCCCGCCCACUGCGCGGAGCGGAGCGGCGCUGAGCGGUGAGCGGCUGCGGGCCGGCGGUUCGUUGUGGGUCGGCGGCUCCUUAUGGGGCCGCGGUUCGUUAUGGGGCCGCGGUUCGUUAUGGGGUUGGCGGCUCCUUAUGGGGCCGCAGUUCGUUAUGGGGUUGGCGGUUCCUUAUGGGGCCGCGGUUCGUUCUGGGGCCGGCGGUUCGUUGUGGGGCGGCGGCUCCUUGUGGGGUCGGCGGCUUCUUGUGGGGCGGCAGUUCUUUCUGGGGCCGGCGGCUCCCUAUGGGGUCGGCGGCUCCUUAUGGGGCCGCGGUUCGCUGUGGGGCCGCAGUUGGUUGUGGGGGCGCAGCGCGGCCCCCUGAGCGGCGGUGCGCUGGGAGGCGGCGCCGCGCGGGGGUCGGGCGGCCGUUCGUCCCCGCCUUGGGGCGCCCCGCGCCGGGCGGCGCCGCUACGCGAGGCCGGGGAUCGGGGGGGCGGUGCGGGCCGCGCGUGGGCCGCGGGGAUUUACGGGCAAAGCGGAUUAAACGCAGCCCCACAACAGCAGCACCGCCCCGCCCCCACCGGGCGCACGGCGCCGCACCGCGUGACGCUGCGGG
RNAcentral lists this long non-coding RNA (1101 nucleotides) under Phasianus colchicus (ring-necked pheasant). Its description in RNAcentral is "lncRNA (ENSPCLG00000014109.1)". The record is from RNAcentral. Lineage: Eukaryota; Metazoa; Chordata; Aves; Galliformes; Phasianidae.